Molecule: ribosomal RNA, 379 nt
Filed under: uncultured bacterium
Lineage: Bacteria
Description: bacterial SSU rRNA
Rfam family: Bacterial small subunit ribosomal RNA
Source: RNAcentral
UAAUACGAGGGGAGCAAGCGUUGUCCGGAUUUAUUGGGCGUAAAGGGCGUGUAGGCGGAUCGGCAAGUCAGGUUUUAAAUAGUACGGCUCAACCGUAUCAAUGGGUCUGAUACUGUCGGUCUUGAGUUCGAGAGAGGGAAGCGGAAUUCCUGGUGUAGCGGUGAAAUGCCAUGAUAUCAGGAGGAACACCGGCGGCGAAGGCGGCUUCCUGGCUCGACACUGACGCUGAGGCGCGAAAGCGUGGGUAGCGAACAGGAUUAGAUACCCUGGUAGUCCACGCCGUAAACGAUGGAUACUAGGCGUCGGGAGACUUUUGACCCUCUCGGUGCCGAAGCUAACGCAUUAAGUAUCCCGCCUGGGGAGUACGACCGCAAGGUUG